RNAcentral lists this ribosomal RNA (535 nucleotides) under uncultured bacterium. RNAcentral's name for it is "bacterial SSU rRNA". It matches the Rfam family "Bacterial small subunit ribosomal RNA", at positions 8 to 521 of the family's 1533-position model. The record is from RNAcentral.
AGAGUUUGAUCCUGGCUCAGGACGAACGCUGGCGGCGUGCCUAAUACAUGCAAGUCGAGCGGACCGGAUUGGGGCUUGCCUUGAUUCGGUCAGCGGCGGACGGGUGAGUAACACGUGGGCAACCUGCCCGCAAGACCGGGAUAACUCCGGGAAACCGGAGCUAAUACCGGAUACCACCGAAGGCCGCAUGGUCUUCGGUUGAAAGGCGGCCUUUGGGCUGUCACUUGCGGAUGGGCCCGCGGCGCAUUAGCUAGUUGGUGAGGUAACGGCUCACCAAGGCGACGAUGCGUAGCCGGCCUGAGAGGGUGACCGGCCACACUGGGACUGAGACACGGCCCAGACUCCUACGGGAGGCAGCAGUAGGGAAUCUUCCGCAAUGGGCGGAAGCCUGACGCAGCGACGCCGCGUGAGCGAAGAAGGCCUUCGGGUCGUAAAGCUCUGUUGUGAGGGGCGAAGGAGCGCCGUUCGAAGAGGGCGGCGCGGUGACGGUACCUCACGAGAAAGCCCCGGCUAACUACGUGCCAGCAGCCGCGGU